This 380-nucleotide ribosomal RNA is filed under the name Pseudomonas aeruginosa. Its description in RNAcentral is "partial 23S ribosomal RNA". It matches the Rfam family "Bacterial large subunit ribosomal RNA", at positions 353 to 740 of the family's 2925-position model. The record is from RNAcentral. Lineage: Bacteria; Pseudomonadati; Pseudomonadota; Gammaproteobacteria; Pseudomonadales; Pseudomonadaceae.
GACGGUACAGGGUGAUAGUCCCGUACACCAAAAUGCACAGGCUGUGAACUCGAAGAGUAGGGCGGGACACGUGGUAUCCUGUCUGAAUAUGGGGGGACCAUCCUCCAAGGCUAAAUACUCCUGACUGACCGAUAGUGAACCAGUACCGUGAGGGAAAGGCGAAAAGAACCCCGGCGAGGGGAGUGAAAAAGAACCUGAAACCGUGUACGUACAAGCAGUGGGAGCACCUUCGGGUGUGACUGCGUACCUUUUGUAUAAUGGGUCAGCGACUUAUAUUCUGUAGCAAGGUUAACCGUAUAGGGGAGCCGCAGGGAAACCGAGUCUUAACUGGGCGUUAAGUUGCAGGGUAUAGACCCGAAACCCGGUGAUCUAGCCAUGGG